AUUGAACGCUGGCGGUAUGCCUUACACAUGCAAGUCGAACGGCAGCACGAAAGAGCUUGCCCUUUUGGUGGCGAGUGGCGAACGGGUGAGUAAUGCACCGGAACGUCCCGAGUUAUGGGGGAUAACUGUUCGAAAGGCUAGCUAAUACCGCAUAUGCUUCGAGCAGGUAAGUGGGGGGUCUUCGGGCCCCACGUUCUUUGAGCGGCCGAUGUCUGAUUAGCUAGUUGGUGGGGUAAAGGCCUACCAAGGCGACGAUCAGUAGCGGGUCUGAGAGGAUGAUCCGCCACACUGGGACUGAGACACGGCCCAGACUCCUACGGGAGGCAGCAGUGGGGAAUUUUGGACAAUGGGCGCAAGCCUGAUCCAGCCAUGCCGCGUGUCUGAAGAAGGCCUUCGGGUUGUAAAGGACUUUUGUUAGGGAAGAAAAGGAUAGUGUUAAUACCAUUAUCUGCUGACGGUACCUAAAGAAUAAGCACCGGCUAACUACGUG
This 490-nucleotide ribosomal RNA is filed under the name uncultured bacterium. Its description in RNAcentral is "partial 16S ribosomal RNA". It matches the Rfam family "Bacterial small subunit ribosomal RNA", at positions 30 to 507 of the family's 1533-position model. The record is from RNAcentral.